RNAcentral lists this transfer RNA (73 nucleotides) under Bos taurus (domestic cattle). It matches the Rfam family "tRNA". Rfam says of the family: Transfer RNA (tRNA) molecules are approximately 80 nucleotides in length. Their secondary structure includes four short double-helical elements and three loops (D, anti-codon, and T loops). Lineage: Eukaryota; Metazoa; Chordata; Mammalia; Artiodactyla; Bovidae. The record is from Rfam by way of RNAcentral. RNAcentral also lists the same sequence under 2 other names.
UCCCUGGCAGUCCAGUGAUUAGGACUCCGCACUUUCACUGCUGAAAGCACAGGCUCAAUCCCUGGUUGGGGAA